CAGGAACAUAGCACCUCCGAUAGCACCUGCAACUGAAAGAUACAAGAGCGGGGGUUACAACAAAGCGGUAGGUUAAUGCCUGGUGAUUUUUCUUCCGUUGGAGCGAUGACCCGUGGAUCAGAGGGACUAGAUGUCAGCUUUGAGCCUCGGGUGGUUGGAACUGUAGACGUAUCCAUGCUCUGUAGACUUGAUGUGGUAUGCCCUUUACCAGAGGGUGGCAUUGUGGUCGGUGGGCUUGGAGGUGUGGUGGUUUGGAGGAUGGAGACCAGUCGUCCGUUUACCUUCGGUCCACACACCGCAUCGGUGGUGGCUGUACCGUAAGUCAGUACGUCCCUCCCCUGAGACAGACAACUGAGGAGACAGUGUCACAGUCCCAUUGUUAACACCAAUACCGACAGUCCAAAUAAUUGCUGUGUGUGUGCGCGUCUGUGUGUGUGCGUGCUUGCAUGUGUUUGUGUUAUGCAUGAAUGUGUGAGUCACUCACUCUGUGUGGUGCUGGCAGAUCUGGGUGUAGGAGUACUGGUCAGAGAAGGUUCCAUCGGGGCAUGAUGCACAUUCCACAUCCGACUCUGCUGUCCCUGAAACACACACCACAACACACAAACACGUUUACUCAUACUCUUACAGUGAACAGUUGCAUUCAAACUUCCAAUAUAAUAUUUGAGGAGGACAGAAACAUGUGGAAUCAGUUAGAAAUAGUGUCCUACCAGCCUCCUGUCCAGCUAUGGUACCUUCUACAGAGACCCCAUAACCAGGCUUGCAGUAUGUCAAAUUUGCACACUCCUCACAGUCCGGGUGUUGGUUCAGUACGCAGUACAUCCCAGUCUGGCACGCACACUGAGUCUUGGUGGUGCUGGAGCACUUCUGGACAUACUUCAGGCCUUUGUCUUCAUGCAUAAAGGAAUAAAAUGCUCAUUAAAGACUACACACCUAUCAAUGUAGCUGAGUCACUGGAGUAACAUAACCCACCCACCUGCUGAACACUUGGGACAUCUGAAGCAUUUUGCGAAGUAAUUAAAGGUCCCACUGUACUGGCCUCUAGGACAUGGUUCACACGCCGUGUCUGAGGUAGAGCUGCAUAGAUCUUUCCGGCGUGUCCCUGUAAUGACAUACAUGUAUAAUUUACAGUAAUCAUCUCAGUACAUGUACAUUUUACAGAACCUACAGAGUGCCGUAAAAGUAUUGUUAUGUUUGAAGUGGUCAUAUUUAGUGCUAUGAUUCUAAGGAUGUCCUCUCCUCUCAGUUUCAUUAGUGUUUAGGACUACACCUUACCAGAAGUACACUUGCUGCAGCAGAGGUUUACCUCUGCGUUAUAGUAUUCAGCUGUUUUGUUGUGGCAGGAUCCGUCAGAGUCUGGUGCGUAUGGCAGAGUGUACACCUGUAGGGACGAGGGGACCAUGAAGUGCACCUGAUCAGGAGAAGGAGUGAUGAGUAACAUGCCCCACCAAGAG
Molecule: long non-coding RNA, 1451 nt
Filed under: Salmo salar (Atlantic salmon)
Lineage: Eukaryota; Metazoa; Chordata; Actinopteri; Salmoniformes; Salmonidae
Description: lncRNA (ENSSSAG00000092551.1)
Source: RNAcentral